GUGAAUCAUCAAAUUUUUGAACGCAAAUUGCACUCUCUUCGGAGAGGAUGCCUGUUUGAGUGUCAGUAUUAAUAAAAAUCGGUGUGUUGCGUCUGGGUGGCGUUUCGGAAGUUUGGGUCAUCUUAAUAACCUGUAGGGUUUAAGAUUCUUAAAAUUGACUUUUUUUGCGUAUUUUAGAUGUACAUAAAUUCUUUUUUUGAGUCGUCUGUCUUAAUGCUCAGAAUCCUAUUAGAUGC
Molecule: unclassified non-coding RNA, 236 nt
Filed under: Glomeraceae sp.
Lineage: Eukaryota; Fungi; Glomeromycota; Glomeromycetes; Glomerales; Glomeraceae
Description: partial contains 5.8S ribosomal RNA and internal transcribed spacer 2
Rfam family: 5.8S ribosomal RNA (bases 1-65)
Source: RNAcentral